RNAcentral lists this ribosomal RNA (480 nucleotides) under uncultured bacterium. Its description in RNAcentral is "partial 16S ribosomal RNA". It matches the Rfam family "Bacterial small subunit ribosomal RNA", at positions 28 to 523 of the family's 1533-position model. The record is from RNAcentral.
GACGAACGCUGGCGGCGUGCCUAACACAUGCAAGUCGAGCGAGUGAAUCUCCUUCGGGAGUGAAGCUAGCGGCGGACGGGUGAGUAACACGUGGGCAACCUGCCUCAUAGAGGGGAAUAGCCUCUCGAAAGGAAGAUUAAUACCGCGUAAGAUUGUAGCUUCGCAUGAAGUAGCAAUUAAAGGAGCAAUCCGCUAUGAGAUGGGCCCGCGGCGCAUUAGCUAGUUGGUGAGGUAACGGCUCACAAAGUAGACGAGGAGUAGCCGACCUGAGAGGGUGAUCGGCCACAUUGGGACUGAGACACGGCCCAGACUCCUACGGGAGGCAGCAGUGGGGAAUAGUGCACAAUGGGGGAAACCCUGAUGCAGCAACGCCGCGUGAGUGAUGACGGCCUUCGGGUUGUAAAGCUCUGUCUUCAGGGACGAUAAUGACGGUACCUGAGGAGGAAGCCACGGCUAACUACGUGCCAGCAGCCGCCGUAA